GCUGAUAUAGCUCAGUCGGUAGAGCGCAUCCUUGGUAAGGAUGAGGUCCCCAGUUCAAAUCUGGGUAUCAGCA
Non-coding RNA from Vibrio sp. JCM 19236, 73 nucleotides. Lineage: Bacteria; Pseudomonadati; Pseudomonadota; Gammaproteobacteria; Vibrionales; Vibrionaceae. The record is from Rfam.